Folsomia candida is the source of this 3188-nucleotide long non-coding RNA. RefSeq lists it as uncharacterized. The record is from RefSeq and is a predicted model, not a curated record. The transcript is spliced from 2 exons. Lineage: Eukaryota; Metazoa; Arthropoda; Collembola; Entomobryomorpha; Isotomidae.
GUCUACUGCAAAUACUCAGCCAGACUUUCGUGCUUGUGGUAACACUCUCUCAACCAACUUAUUAUUAUUCUUCUAACGGAAACAAUUCAUUGGUGCGAGGUGACUGAUUACUUUGCGAAAACGAAGUCAUAAUAUGAAAGAGGACUCUAAUUCACGUGGAUAUUUGUAAACUGUAAGUGUGUAAAAUUAUGAUACAAUUUAAACUGAAACCAAUUACAGUGAUCAGGGUAAGUUUGGGAUUUAUCUUUAUUUGUGGCCUGAUUUUCCUUCUUCGAAAUCUUUGCAAACUCGUGGAAAUAUUUGUCCGGUAAUGUUUAUGUGUACAGAUCAAAACAGAGGGAAAAUUCGCGGAGAUGUUUGUAAAUUUGGUAAAUUUAUUUUUUCAAUUGUUCCGAAAUUAAGAGACGCCCCUGAUCUGGGGAAUAUGUUUCGGAUAAAUUUUGUAACCUGCUGACUUUCCUGCGUAAUCUUUGUAUGAAUUUUCAUGGGAUGGCGUGACUCGAAAUGACGUGAUGUCUAUCUUGGGUCGUGGAUGGAGCAAAACUGAGGAUAAAACCUGCUGGUGAAGAAUAUUAUUGCUGUGCUUUCACUUUGCCUGCUUUCUCCAGCGUGGAAGAAAUGUGGGGCUGGAGAGUUUGAGCUGGUAUCGAUCCUCACGUUUCCGACCACGACGUUCAACUUCUAUACGGUCUCCUCUGGAGAGAGAGAGCGAGAGAGGGAUAGUGGCGGAUAAGAGGAGAGAAAGUGGGAGAGAAAGUGUAGUCACGAACGUUAUAAGGAAAGUGAGAUCAAUACGAGAAAAUGAGGAAAAUGUCUCAAUUUGCCUCACUCCUGGAACUGCAGUAGGGCAAUAAUUCUAUCAUAAAUCGUGAAGAAGUUGGGUAGAAUGUUAAAUUGUGAUAUCAAUUUUUUUGAAAUAAGAUGCGUUCGAGAUGUUCUAGUUUUUUGAUAAAUUUGAGAAUAAUUUGUAAACUUCUACAUAUUUAUGUAGAAACGUUAAUUGUAUUAAAGUUGACCGGGUUUAUUACGGGAUUACAAACUUAAAGAUUGUUAUCAAUACUGUACGAGAAGCAUUUGUGGGGACAGAAUUCUCUCCCCAGAUUAUUUACAUAGGUAAAUUCAGUGGAUUUUAAAUGAGUGAAUGAACGCAUUUUAUUAUAGUCCUUGCAACAUAAAUCCAUAAAUUUUGUCAAAUUAGUAACGAUUUUCGUAAACUUAUAAGUAGAUUUAUAAGUACAUUUUCAUCAGAAAUUUUGUAAUAAAUUUUCUUACAAUUGUUUAAAACUUUCAGAACACAUAUUGUACAAAUGUAAGAUCUACAUAUAAUUGUAUACGAGUGAAUCUUCAUCAAACAACGUAUUUCAUGUGGUAAAGUUGCACAGAAAAUUUAAUCUCUCUGGGUGUUAAACUUAAGUCGAAAAUACAGAAUAAUUCUGGGAGUUAUGGUCGAUGCAUUAUAAUUAAAGCCAUUUUUACAUAAGGAAUGCAUGUAAAAGUAGCUUUAAUUUUAAUGCCUUUUUCAUAACCUUUAUUGAAGUGAUAGCCGAAAUGAUUUGUCCGAGCAAAAAAUAAUGAUUUUAUCUCAACUUGGUGAAAUGAAAUGCAUAUUUGUAAACCAAAAUUUGGUAGCAAUCCGCGUAUGCGUACAUUGAUCAGAAAUAGUAAAGAAUGUGUCUCAAAAAUUAACUUGAUAUCGACAGGUGACGAAUUAAAUUCUAUAGGCGGUCUCAAAUUACAUUUUUUUGGUCAACUCACGCUAAUAGUAAGCGUGAUAAGUACUCGUUUGUAGUGUGAUAAAGGUUUGUGCUAUAUUUUACAAAAAGUAUGGGCAAUAGGUCAAAAUUUCUUGUCAAUAAUGGCAAAAACUACGUCCGAGUGCUGAACCAUUGUCAUCUUCCCUACUUAAAAAAAAUAUCCAAUUUCUUAGUGCUAAAAUGGACACAAUUUUGUCGCGCAUUAUUUCGCGUGUUUGCUGAUGAAGCUCUUACUCCUGGUGGCGACCUAGAAAUGAGUAGUUUCAGUUCAGUUGUCGCCCUUCUUUGUCUCAGGAUUCGUCCCUGUCUCUCCUUUCGCCGCUUUCAUUCAGCCCAACCCGACGGGGAAAUACCUCUCCAGAACUCAUCGCAUCAUCUACUCGACGAGCACUGCGGCUUAUCCUACACGUUCCAGAAAGAAGAAUAUAGGACAACCUUCUGGUCACGAUAGAAGACACCAUGCAUAAAUUGUGCCGUCCUUUUUGGCCUGAUUUUUGCAAGGGUCAUUGCGAAUCACCUGGAUUAAGAAAAAUCAAAAUUUGUUUCGAACUUGAAAUUGUAUUUUACCAAAGUUUACUUGGAUUUUUCUGCAAUACUUUGCACUUGAAACCUCAUAGAUUUCCAGGGUCAGGUAGGCACGACAUCCAGAUUGAUUAAGUUGACAUUAAAGUGUGUCCAAAUGUGGCACAUUUUUUCUGCAUGGUCCGAAUAAAUUUUUGGCCCGGGCUGCUUUCUCUUUUUUGCUUUCACCUAAAUCAACUUGGGGAAGGUGAACGUCCUCCACGUGCGGGUUCCUCUUCUGAUCUCGUCUCUCGUUACACAAUUCUACACACCAAAGUCGGAUCCACGUCGGCUUCACAUCAAUCCGAGAUUUGUGAAAUGUAUGUAUUUACUAUUUACAAGUGACGUCAAAUAGAUAAGUCCGAAUUUCAUAUAAAUUUCCUCUCGUUAUUUGCUAACAACUCAAAACAUAUUGAAAGGUUGUAACUAUAAUAGAAAGAGCGUAAAUGUAGCUAAUUAACUUCUGCUUUAAAAUGAGCCAAGUAUUUCUAAAAAUCAAACCUUGUCUUCAUUUUAUAAUUACAUCUUCCGCCUCAUUUUGCAAAAUCUGUACAUCCAAAAUAUAUGAAAAUUAUGAAUCCGACUUUAAAGUAUAUCUGAAAUUGGUUAAAAUUCAUUUUCCCGAGUUUUAGCCACAAUUAAAAUGAAAUAGGAAAUUCGUGCACUUACAUAAUUCUAAAAAUAUUCCGUAUUUUAUUCUAUAUUUUAAUUAUUAACUAACAAUAAUUUAACUUGAAUAUAUAGUUCAGUCUAGUUUAAGAGUAUGUAAAAUAAAAGAAGUACGUAUGUUAAGAUAUUGACAUUAGUCAACUCGACUUCCAUUGGAUUCCUCGAUUGUAUGUUUUUUUGCUAAGAUCGUGAAUAAUUUAUUGU